GUGCAAACUCGAUCACUAGCUCUGCAUGAUGUGGCAGCAGCUAAGGGAACCAGGUUUGCUAAAGUAAUUGUGGUGAUAGGAAUUACCAGCCUCCAACGGUCCUCAGGAGGUGGCUUAUUCUAUCCUAGUACAGUC
Small nucleolar RNA from Nannospalax galili (Upper Galilee mountains blind mole rat), 135 nucleotides. The record is from Ensembl. Lineage: Eukaryota; Metazoa; Chordata; Mammalia; Rodentia; Spalacidae.